CAACAAUUAGGCAGCUAGUUUUAACAUCGUAAAAUUCAGGGACUUGUCUUGGUAAGGUUCAAAUUUCAACAAAAGAGGCUGUCGGCACACAUUUUUGCUAUUGAAACAGCCACCACUCGCCAUCACCUCCUUCAAAUAUAGGAAUCUGGUCUUCUUAUUCUGUUUGAAGCCACAAGCACUCGGAGAUCGAUAUUACCUGGAUGGAAAUGGCGACAAGCUUGAAUGUGACUAAGACGAUUCUGGUCAUAAAAAUCUGUAAUUGUGUAGUUCAAUUACAUUUUCAAAAUUCUCUGUAUGGUUGAAGAGGCA
Molecule: long non-coding RNA, 309 nt
Organism: Diorhabda sublineata
Lineage: Eukaryota; Metazoa; Arthropoda; Insecta; Coleoptera; Chrysomelidae
Exons: 3
Source: RefSeq, a predicted model, not a curated record